UGGGGAGGCAAAGGAAGAGGACAUGCCAACAACAUGUACUGAGUUGCCUAGGAGGUCAACUAGGGAGAGACGUCCACCUGACAGAUUUCAAGCAAGUAUUGUAUGUCAGGUUAAUACAGAACUUUCUAACUUCAAUGAAAUAAAACUGUAUCCUACAAAGGAUCAGGUAGCUUGGCAGGAAGCUAUGAAUAGGGAGUUAAAAUCGUUAAAGGAUUUAGAGGUGUAUGAGGAUGUAAAGUUACCACCAGGAGAGCGUGCAAUAGGUUGCAAAUGGGUGUAUAAGAUAAAGACUGGUGUGGAUGGGACUAUUACCCAUAAAGCAAGAUUAGUUGCUCAAGGAUUUGCUCAGUCAGAUAAGGACUAUGAUGAAGUG
This is a non-coding RNA of Notechis scutatus (mainland tiger snake), 373 nucleotides long. The record is from RefSeq and is a predicted model, not a curated record. NCBI's taxonomy places the organism in Eukaryota, Metazoa, Chordata, Lepidosauria, Squamata, Elapidae.